This 691-nucleotide ribosomal RNA is filed under the name uncultured Bacteroidales bacterium. RNAcentral's name for it is "bacterial SSU rRNA". It matches the Rfam family "Bacterial small subunit ribosomal RNA", at positions 32 to 715 of the family's 1533-position model. The record is from RNAcentral. Lineage: Bacteria; Pseudomonadati; Bacteroidota; Bacteroidia; Bacteroidales.
AACGCUAGCUACAGGCUUAACACAUGCAAGUCGAGGGGCAGCGCAGUGUAGCAAUACAUGGGCGGCGACCGGCGCACGGGUGCGUAACGCGUAUCCAACCUUCCCGUUACUCAGGGAUAGCCUUCCGAAAGAGAGAUUAAUACCUGAUGGUAUCAGAAUUUCGCAUGUUAUUCUGAUUAAAGAUUUAUCGGUAACGGAUGGGGAUGCGUGACAUUAGGUAGAUGGCGGGGUAACGGCCCACCAUGCCUACGAUGUCUAGGGGUUCUGAGAGGAAGGCCCCCCACACUGGAACUGAGACACGGUCCAGACUCCUACGGGAGGCAGCAGUGAGGAAUAUUGGUCAAUGGUCGGAAGACUGAACCAGCCAAGUAGCGUGAAGGAUGAAGGUUCUAUGGAUUGUAAACUUCUUUUAUACGGGAAAUAAAACCACCUACGUGUAGGUGCUUGUAUGUACCGUAUGAAUAAGCAUCGGCUAACUCCGUGCCAGCAGCCGCGGUAAUACGGAGGAUGCGAGCGUUAUCCGGAUUUAUUGGGUUUAAAGGGAGCGUAGACGGGAGAUUAAGUCAGUUGUGAAAGGCUGCGGCUCAACCGCAGCACUGCAGUUGAUACUGGUUUCCUUGAGUUCGGUUGAGGUGUAUGGAAUUCGUGGUGUAGCGGUGAAAUGCUUAGAUAUCACGAAGAACUCCGAUUG